This is a non-coding RNA of Coturnix japonica (Japanese quail), 3946 nucleotides long. Lineage: Eukaryota; Metazoa; Chordata; Aves; Galliformes; Phasianidae. The record is from RefSeq and is a predicted model, not a curated record.
UUGCUCUGUGGCUCUUGCUUCUUCUUGGUGAAGGUAUUUUCAUCUGGGAGUUCCUGCCCUGGAUUAGCUUCAUUCUGCACAUGGGAAUAGCAUGGAGAGGAGUUGGGGACUGCAGGCUCUACAGGUGACUGUAGGAUGGAGCCUGGAGGCAGCUCUUGUCCAAAGGCCUUUACCUGUAUGGCUGGAGAAACACCGAUAGCUAUGAGCAGAUCUGGCACUGCAUUCAUGUCCCAAACCUGCUUCCAAUGUGGGCAGCCCAUGCCAGACCAACAGGAGAUGGACUCAUCCUGAGCAUAUCCCCAGCUCUAGGAGCUGCUUCCCCUGCAUGGAGAGCAUCCUUGUGGGCUGCUGGGUCAGCCCAGUGCAGUGCCACCUACAGCAGCUUCACGUCCACUGAGCCAUGCUCGAAGAAAUGCAAGAGCAGAGCUGCUGCUGACAAUGAAAUGGGAGAGACAAGUAUUUAUUCUGUUCGGACCUCCUCGAGAAGCAGACGCACGUUGGCAGAAUGCUAAGCAGAGCGGCAGUUCGGGGAGACAAAUGUCCAGGCAGCUUUUCUGUAAUAUCCAUUUGAAAGAAGCUUAGUGCCACGAGGCUUUCAUCUCAAUAUUCCUGAGGCCGGAUUUGAAAGUGCUUAAGGUUAAAUAUUACUCACUCUUGGAAAGAACAUCUCCAUCUGUCUCACAAAAAAAGAAAGCUUUCAAUCUUGGAGGUACUCAGGGAAACUUACCCAUAAACACAGUCAUUAGAGAUUUCCGAGGGAAAAAAAAGAUCCUAUAGGCUCUGCCUGAGAAGUAAUUAGCCUUUCAAAUUCAGCAAUGUUUAAUCCCACAAAGCCUUAUAUACAAAAUAUAAUCCUGUUUUUCUUCAGAGCUGAGCCAGUGAGGGAGCAUGACCCCCGCUGGACCAGGCUGUGCACAGCUGGGUCCCAUUGGCCACAUCUGGGUGUCUCAAGGUGCAGGGUGAGAAAGAGGCAUCCAACAAGCUCAGUUCACCCCAAGGAUGCUCUGGGUCCUGAGGUGAUGACCCUGUGAAGCUGCAGCUGGCAGGAGGCACUGCUGCACGGCCCUGGCUUGCUGAGGGAUUCUCUGGCUGCUAAAUGCCCAAAUCACUUUGGAGAACUGGAUUUAAGCAGCCAGUUUUGAACGCUCGUGGUAACAGAGAAACCUGAAAUAACAUUGUGUGAUUUGGGGUGAAGUGCCCUGAGGCCUGCUGAUAAUAAUUGUAGCACUCUUUAAAAAGAAAAAUGAUUUUAUUUUUUUUUUCUGGGCAGUCAAAGCAGCUGACAACAUCCCAGGGGACCCCCUGCCGCUUUCCAGAGGAGAAAUUGCAGCUUUUCAGAGGCUGAGAAAUGACACCGCUCUGCAACUCACGCUGCUCCUGCAGAUCUCAGCUCCAGCACAGCAACACAGUGCUGAGGCCACGGGCUCAGGGCUGCUACGUUGUGCCACCAGGCAGGGGACGUGCAAGCAAUGCAACAUCUGUCAGCAGAAACAUCAGCAUCCAUUCCUAACCAUGCCGUGAUCUGGCAGAAGCUGGUGCAAAGCUCUGCUUUAGAAAGUGUUCCUUGUUCAUCCUUGUGGUAAGACAUGAGGUAGGUCCUGCCAGUUUGGUGACACGCGGCUUGUGUCCUCUCCCAGAUGUGAUGCCUCAACCAUCCCAUGGGUGCCCUGAGAGCUGCAAGGCUGGGAGAUGAGGUCUGAAGUAUCUCAGUGCAAUCGCUGACCAUUUUAAUGGGAUGAAACCAAUCUCAAAAAGAAGACAGAUUUAAGUGAGAUCUUGUGUUCUUCACAUCAGCUUCCCUGCUGAGCUCAGCCUCUCAGUGUGGUGUGGGAUAUCUUCUGUAUAAUCUGGCUUUUAAUGCAUUGAUCGUAGCUAUUUGAUUACAGUAGGAAGAAAAGGCCCAGCAAGAAGUGCUAAUAAUAUCACAAAACUUAAAGCAAAUGGAAGAAGUUCAGAAAAACAAAAAUACCCUAAAAAUAAAGGGCACAAAAGCAAUGUCUGCUCUUAGACAACUAUUAUUAUUAGGGUUUUGAUGCUCAUCUGGACCUGGCUGUUAAGCAGUGCCCUCCUGUAUGGGCUCUGUAUCUUGGGCAAAGGGCAAAUGCAACGAGGAAGGCCAGGUAUCUCAUAGCAGCAUACAAAAGUGAGCAAAUCAAUACCAAUAAACUACCUCAGAUAGUGAUUAAUUAAUAGGAAUUAAUUUUAAAAAGAAGAGGCUAUUGACGUGAAUUGACAGAGGUGCUAACCUCAGAGCAAUUGAGGGAAAAUGUCUUUAAAACAGAGUGAUUAAGUUGUAGAAAGUAAUAAAAGGGCUGCGCUGCCCCCAGGAUGAGCUCAGCCAGCCUGGGAGCAAAGUCGGGAGAGCUUCUAAUUAGAUGCUGGAGCUUGAUGAGGUAACUGGCUGGGUUGGCACUGCCAGCCUGGAGUUCUGUUGUGUCACUUCUGAGUGCGUCCUGGGUGUGAGGACGGUGGAAUUCCUGCAGGGUGUUGACAGCUGUGGAAUCAGAGAUGGAAGCAAGGAUAAGAGUGAGAAAGAGGUGGUGUUUCACCUCUCUGGACAUCUUCAGCACUGCAGUGAUGUUACUCGCUGUUAUUAGAGGCUGCAUGGAAUAGAACCACAUGGGACCAAGCACAGCCCGUGGCCGUGGUGGAGAUGAGUCAGCCAGCCUUGCUGACUUCUCAAAUUGCAUUAAUUCACACUCCCACGAAUGCUUCUGAAAAUGAAGGGGAGGCACCCGGUGGCCCUUUGUGGUGGGGCGGGGAGGUGUGACAGCACAGAGGGCCAAAACUACCUGUUGGAGAUCUUCAUCGCUCAUCUCCUGCCUUCUUUGAUGCUUUGAAGCACUGGAAGACCAUUUGGAGAAAGGUGACCCUAAUCAAGUUGAAGGUAUUUCCAAAUCUUCAUUAAGCCCAUCUUACGUGAUGACACUCCACCCAGCAGGUGCCCAGCAGUGGGUCGGGCUGCCUGGUCCCAAGCAAGAGGCCAUCCCUCUCCCCACAGCCUUCCUCUGCCUUCACUUUGGAGCAAAGCUGCUGACCAGAAGCUGGAGGGUGUAUUGUCUGAGAUGUAGGCUGUAUCUGAUUGCUCAGUGGUUAUGGGAAACUAAUGUUGUGUGCCACGUGCAGAGCAGUUCCAAGCUGGUUUCUGCAGGUCUGCUGGGCACGCAGCCACCAGAGCAGCCCCAGCCUUUAUUUUCGGUUUUGCUAUCUUUGCAAAUGGAGCUGUUUACUAACAAUGUUCCCUAACAGACAAUUAAAAGCUGAUUUACAUGAGGCUUCAAAAAAAAGAAAGGCAUUCCAGAAGUUAAGCAUUUUCAGCUCGUUUUGAAAUAGCUGAGUUAAAUGAGAGUAACAGGGAGCUGAGCCCUGCUUUGCAAAACAAAUCGCAGUGAUUGGAUUCAUCUGUGCAACAAUGGGAGCUCUUGCUAAAUGGUAACUUGGAGGCUUCGGAGAGAACCCUGGCUGGGAUCUCGCCCCCAAAGCUUGCUCUGACCAGUGCUGGGGCUGCUGCCCUUCAGCAGGACACGGCCCAAGCCCCAAGCAGGCAGUGGCCGCCCCAGCCUGCAGGCUGUAUCAUCCCAGCACCAUGCUGGGUUGGUGGAGAUGUGGGAUUCAUCCUACAGUGCCAUCGAGUUGCUCCCUCUGAGCUGAAAGGCUGAAGACAGCUUUGUCUGCAGUGGCUCACAGAGCAACUUAUUACUGAGACUGAGGACCUAAAAUGACCUUAUAGAAAGGAAAGAAAAAAAAUUGUUGUGGGAAUUAAGGAAAGAAGAAUCCAGCGGGUCUAUUGUUAAUGGCUGGCAUCAUUAUAAAGUUCACAAUUGGUGACUUAUUUGAAGACUGCUUUUCUCUGAAUUCUUUAUGCUGUGCAAAUCCAUCUUGAAGGGAAUGACGCUCUCUCAGACUCCUAUCAACAUUUACGUUUGCAGGAGCCUCUAAGCUUUUA